AUCGGCCAGUGUGGUCCAACCUAACUAUCAGUAUCAGUAAAAUCCGCUAUCGGUCGACCUCUAGUUAAUAUGUGCAGAUUUUUGCAACGUGAAUCUGGACAAACAGCAGCACCAGCAGUGGAAGCGCAGAGGAGAGCGGAGCGAACCGUACCGUUCUGAGCCUCGAUGACGGCCGGCUCCACCUGGUCCAAAUCCUGCUUCACGCUCAGCUGCUUGACUUUAAUCACUUCCUGCUGCUUGUAAACCGCUUCCUGUAUAUCCUGACUCAUGACCUGUUAAGCCAAACAACACCAGUCAGGUUAUUUACGAGAGCAGCGGCACAAGAGCACUGAAGCGAUGUUCUGAACGACGACUCUUGCCUUCUUCUUCUCGGCCUCCUGCUGGUCUUUCACCAUCUUCUUCAGCUUGUCGUUGGCAGCAGCGUUCUUGACCUCCAGCUCCUGACUCUUGAUCCGCAGGUCGCGCCGCAGCUCCUCCACCUGUGACGUCACACGGUUAAUAACGCUAAACGAGCUCAUGCGUCUGCACGCGUGAUGUCGUGUGAAGCGCGCACCUGAUCGACGGUCUCUUUGAUUUUGCGCAGACCCACGUUCAGAUGCAUCUGCUGCUCCUCCAGCUCGCUGCGCUUCUCGUUGAACAGGUUGGCGUAGUGGUUGAUGAAGUCCAGGUAGUGUCGCGGGGUGAUGGCCAUAGUGCGGCCGCCGCGCUUCGCCAGACGGUUGUUAGCCUAACACACACACACAGAGAAAUAAAGCAUCACAGCAUGCUCUGAAAGCAGUAUGCACCUCAUCAGACGGCGAGCGAGACGCUCUUCUGACCUGGGCUUUGUCACGGUCGAUGUUAGGAAAGUGUUUGAGGGCGACCAUGUUUAUGUUCUCAUCUGUCCAGCGUCUCUCCUCAUCCUCCACCAAUCUGCCGGGAGAAUCAGUUCAAUCCGUGUGCAAUGUCACAAGAACGAACACAUACUUAUAGGUUUGCUGCUGAUGCACAUUUUGGUACGCUCUGAAAUGCAACAUUGUUCCAAAACAGGAACCAAAAUUGCAACAGUGAUCUACAGGUCUGAAAAGAGCCUUAAAGGGAUAGUUCACCCCAAAUUGAAAAUUACGCCAUGAUUUACUCACCCUCAAGGCAUCCUAGGUGUGUAUGACUUUCUUCUUUCAAAUGAAUCCAGUCGGAGUUAUAUAAAAAAUGUCCUGGCUUUCCGAGCUUUAUAAUUACAGUGGGUGGAUUUUUUAUUUUUUUUUAAUAGUCCAAAAGAAGUCCAAUAAAGCGCAUCCAUCCAUAAUAAAAAGUGCCAAAGUUUCUGUACUUUAGCAAAGGCAAACCAGUCUCCUCUUGGCUUGUAUCGAAAUCCUCAUUUUCUUUACAAAUCCUCGUUUCGUACUUCUAAUUCGUGACUGGCGUUUUGUUUUGCUCUCUCCGCUGCGCUUCCUCGUUCAUCACGAAUCAGCUGACGCUACGCCGACAUCCUACAUCAUCUGCCGGAAUGGUGUUCCAUUGUGAAUGCGCGUACGAGUUAGCAUCAGUUCAAUCCGUGUGCAAUGUCACAAGAACGAACACAUACUUAUAGGUUUGCUGCUGAUGCACAUUUUGGUACGCUCUGAAAUGCAACAUUG
Sinocyclocheilus grahami is the source of this 1616-nucleotide long non-coding RNA. The record is from Ensembl. NCBI's taxonomy places the organism in Eukaryota, Metazoa, Chordata, Actinopteri, Cypriniformes, Cyprinidae.